GAUGAACGCUAGCGGCAGGCCUAACACAUGCAAGUCGAGGGGUAGAGAGGUGCUUGCACCUUUUGAGACCGGCGCACGGGUGAGUAACGCGUAUGCAAUCUGCCUUGUACAGGGGAAUAGCCCAGGGAAACUUGGAUUAAUGCCCCAUGGUCUAUAUUGAAGGCAUCAGAUAUAUAGUAAAGAUUUAUCGGUACAAGAUGAGCAUGCGUACCAUUAGCUGGUUGGUGUGGUAACGGCACACCAAGGCUACGAUGGUUAGGGGCCCUGAGAGGGGGAUCCCCCACACUGGUACUGAGACACGGACCAGACUCCUACGGGAGGCAGCAGUGAGGAAUAUUGGACAAUGGGCGAGAGCCUGAUCCAGCCAUGCCGCGUGCAGGAAGACUGCCCUAUGGGUUGUAAACUGCUUUUUUACGGGAAGAAACACCCCCUCGUGAGGGGGCUUGACGGUACCGUACGAAUAAGGAUCGGCUAACUCCGUGCCAGCAGCCGCGGUAAUACGGAGGAUCCAAGCGUUAUCCGGAAUCAUUGGGUUUAAAGGGUCCGUAGGCGGGCGAUUAAGUCAGUGGUGAAAUUCUGCAGCUCAACUGUAGAACUGCCAUUGAUACUGGUCGUCUUGAAUCGUUGUGAAGUGGCUAGAAUAUGUGGUGUAGCGGUGAAAUGCUUAGAUAUCACAUAGAAUACCGAUUGCGAAGGCAGGUCACUAACAACGCAUUGACGCUGAUGGACGAAAGCGUGGGGAGCGAACAGG
This 751-nucleotide ribosomal RNA is filed under the name uncultured bacterium. RNAcentral's name for it is "bacterial SSU rRNA". It matches the Rfam family "Bacterial small subunit ribosomal RNA", at positions 28 to 776 of the family's 1533-position model. The record is from RNAcentral.